UACGUAGGCAGCGAGCGUUGUUCGGAGUUAUUGGGCGUAAAGAGCGUGUAGGCGGCCAGGUAGGUCAGCUGUGAAAACUCGAGGCUCAACCUCGAGACGUCGGUUGAAACCACCUGGCUAGAGUCCGGAAGAGGAGAGUGGAAUUCCUGGUGUAGCGGUGAAAUGCGCAGAUAUCAGGAGGAACACCAGCGGCGAAGGCGGCGCUCUGGGCCGGUACUGACACUGAGGAGCGAAAGCGUGGGUAGCAAACAGG
Molecule: ribosomal RNA, 253 nt
Filed under: uncultured bacterium
Lineage: Bacteria
Description: partial 16S ribosomal RNA
Rfam family: Bacterial small subunit ribosomal RNA
Source: RNAcentral